This is a long non-coding RNA of Thunnus maccoyii (southern bluefin tuna), 2014 nucleotides long. RefSeq lists it as uncharacterized. NCBI's taxonomy places the organism in Eukaryota, Metazoa, Chordata, Actinopteri, Scombriformes, Scombridae. The record is from RefSeq and is a predicted model, not a curated record. The transcript has 8 exons.
CCUGGCAGUUGAGCCUAUCAGCGAUCAGGUUUACAGAACGCACUUGUUUAAAGUGAGAAGAAGAAGAAGAGCUAGUAGAUGUUAGCUGCACGGAAAAGCAGCAGGAAUUGUUUGCAUUGCAGACUUCCAAAACUAGAGUGAAGAAUUUCUGGAAGUGCUGGCCAACAACAUGUUCCAUACAGCAAUUGAUGUCAUUAUUUCUGGCCCGGAGCUUUGUCUUACCUCUCCAUCACCCAGAACUGUCCGCAGGCAAAACGUCUCCAUUCUGACAGCCAGCGUGACAUCAAAGCCAUCUUCAACAUGAUCAAGUGGCAUCAACACCCCAAUCUGACCCAACCUGAGGACACACAGUGUGCACAGGGGCCAUCUGACUCAACUCUACCCACUUUUUAUAUGUCAUCUGGAGGUGGACGGAUGCUGUGCUGUGAAGGUUCUCAAGCUCCUCUCCCCUUCCCUCCCGCAGGACUAUCAGCCAACUGUCCUGAUGACCAGCCACUUCAUUCCUCAAGUCUGUAGACGGGAGAGUUCAAGGACGUGGUCGGGAAGGACGAUCGAGCCAUUUGUGAACACGAUGAACAAUGUAUCCAGCCAGCAAAAGACUUCACUUCAUAACGAGUGGAACAAAAUCCAAGGACUCCAACCUGAGACCUGGCAGCUUCACACCCAGAAAAUCCUGCCAGCCUCGCAGCAGCAGCAGCCGCCACCAUUACCGCAGGUCACAACUAAAGUUCAUCCUGGACCUGCUGCACAUAUCUCCUGUCCUUGAUCCUUGAGUCGCUGCAGUUGAACCUGAAUUGACCCUACCUGAUGCUGGAAGAGAGUUUCCCAGCCAUGCCUGGUUCCUUCUGCCUAUAAUAACCCAAAUCCCACCUCCAUCACACCGGUCAUAUCACAGAUCAUGUCUGGAUAACAGCCCUGUACACAGAUGGACACGAGGUGUUUUUACCAGAACAGCGUGUCAAGAACACAAUCAUGUCUGACUAAAGCGCACCUCGGGAAGACAUAUUAAAGCUUUACAGUGGCAUAGAGGGCUUUAUGAUGAGCAACAAAGGAGGAAGUCCAAUAUUGUCGCAUUUAUCUCCAAAUGAAUUUAGCAAUUCUCCUUUUUAUUGUCAACAGGAACAAAAACACAAGUCGGACGCAUUGUAGUAAAUACACACAAACUCCAUCAAUUCAUAUAUGUGUAACAGUCAUUGUCUUAUCAUCCGAUUGUUCAGUAAUCCUUUUGAGUCUGAGCACUUGCAUCACAGUAACGGGUUUUUACAGAGGCGGUUUGGCAGCGGUGACUGCAACGGGUUGACAGUGUCUGCGGAGUCCUCUGAAGGAUUACAGUUUUUGUGAUUUCCUUGCAUCAUCAGAGGCCACAGCUCCAUCUGAAAAUAUCUGCAUGUUCUCUGUGGUCUUUUGUCAGCAAAGGGACCGGGGGCUUGAUGUGUACAUUUUGGUCAAAGUUUAGAGGGGUUGCUAGGUGAUAUGACCUAAAAUCCAUAUCAUGAUUUAUUGUUUGACUAUCUCAAUGAUAAAGGCACAUGCUUUGUGGGGGGGAAAAAGCUGUUCAAUAUUCUCAACAGGGAAGUCUGUGUAAAUAUUACUUCCUUAGCCCACUGCCAGCUUAAAGAAGCUCGGGCUACUCUCGGAGAAUAAGGCCUUCAUUUCACUCAACCCUGCUACCUGCCCUGUGCCCCCCUCACCCAGACUGAGAUGAAUAAGAGAUGGAACAAAUAUUUGCAGGAGUUGGUGGGUUCUGCAUUUUCACUCACUACUGCUACUACUUGACCUCAGGUGCUCUAAUAGUGAUGUACAUGCAGUUUGUGACCAUAUAUGUCAUGGAUGUACUAGUGAUAAACACACUAAGCUGUUAUCCAAAGAAAGUUAUUCUAAAUUAUAAGCAUAAUCACAAAAGUAUCCAUGUGGGAAUAAAUACUGAUGUUGUUUAACAGAUGUUUGCACCUUUUCUCUAAAUCGUCCUUGUUUGAAUUUGUCUGUAUAAAAUAAAGUUCAAUAUGAAUUAAAA